GGAGACUUCAAAUUAAAUCUAUGUAUGGGCCGAAGUGGUGGUUGUUCGAAGGUGGUAUUUGUAUACCCUGCACUGAAGCUUUGUAGGUGAAGCUUUGCAAGUGAAGCUUUGAAGCUAAAGCUCUGUAAAUGAAGCUUUCGAAGCUAGAGCUUUUGUAAAUGAAGCUUUUGAAGCUAGAGCUCUGUAAAUGAAACUUUUAAAGUUAAAGCUCUGUAAAUGAAACUUUUAAAGCUGAUUGACAUGAGUGAUGCCCAUGAAUGUUUAUGUUGAUUGACAUGAGUGAUGCUCAUGGAUGUUGUCAUGAGUGAUGCUCAUGAUUGUUAACAUGAGUGAUGCUCAUGAAUGUUGAUAUGAAUUAUGGUCAUGAAUGUUUAUGUAUGAUUGUUAUGAGUGAUGCUCAUGAAUGUUUAUGUAUGAAUGACAUGAGUAAUGCUCAUGUAUAAUUUAGAAUAUUAGGCGUACUUUUGAUCACCUGGUUGGUGGCAUGAAGGAGAGUACGGGUUGUACAUUUCAUCACCUGGUUGGUGGUAAUAGCGGUUGGUUGCCGAAUAAUUUUGGAGUACUGGGCGUACUUUUCAUCACCUGGUUGGUGAUGAUAGCGGUAGGUUGCCGAAUAAUUUUGGAGUAAUGGGCGUACUUUUCAUCACCUGGUUGGUGAUGAUAGUGGCAGGUUGCCGAAUAAUUAUGGAGUACUGGGCGUACUUUUGAUGACCUGGUUGGUGUUAUUUUGAGCUUAUGGGCUUUUGCCCUCCACACAACAUUCCAGCCCAUUUAUUUUGGGCUUUGCCUUUUUUUUUUUUUUUUUUUUUUUACCCUCUGAUGGGGUUUAUACAGAUGUUUUCGAAAGAUAAAAUUAAAUUACAUCAUACAAAAAUAAGAAAAGCAAAUCACAUCAUUCUGAUGGGGUGUUUAUUCUUUGCUUUUGAUUUCUUUUUUGCUUUCCUAGUGACAUGAUGGCUGGAUUGUUUGACUGGUGUGCAAUUGGCACAUGUUAUCUCCACAAAUUUCUUCAGACAUUUUCCUUCUCCUCCUUUUUCUUUUCACUACGUUUUUUCUGCUUUGCUUUUGCUUUCCCAUGUACUCUCGCAGACAAUGGGUUGAGAGAACACUGUUGUAAGGCUAUCUUUUGCUUUUACUUUCUUUGCUUUUGCUUUCUCUGCUGCAUGGUCCACGAGUCCCCCACCCAAUGUUCAUAAUAUUCUCCCACACUAAGCCCAUGAGCUUUCUUUAAUAGCCUUUAUUGCCCCUGCCACUCACAAUACUUUUGGUCAGGAACGGCAUCUCUCCAGUAC
Molecule: long non-coding RNA, 1292 nt
Filed under: Malus domestica (apple)
Lineage: Eukaryota; Viridiplantae; Streptophyta; Magnoliopsida; Rosales; Rosaceae
Description: long non-coding RNA (MDOM_LNC014008)
Source: RNAcentral